RNAcentral lists this unclassified non-coding RNA (1855 nucleotides) under uncultured fungus. RNAcentral describes it as "sequence contains 18S rRNA gene, ITS1, 5.8S rRNA gene, ITS2, 28S rRNA gene". The stretch from base 755 to 1855 matches the Rfam family "Eukaryotic large subunit ribosomal RNA", at positions 1 to 961 of the family's 3401-position model. Lineage: Eukaryota; Fungi. The record is from RNAcentral.
GGAAGGAUCAUUAACACGUUGUUUUUCACAAAAAACAAACAAAACAUCAACUCGCGCACUGAACCCGGCGUUGCGGCGGAAAGUAAUGAAGUUCUGGCUCUCACUUGUUGAGAGACUGCGCCCCCAACCCCAUUGUAAUUUACUUACAAUGGCCUUGGGUUCUUCCAACGCUUGCCCUUUUAAUUUAACCCUUCCAACUUUGAUCCUUUGCAUUGGGCUUCGGCUCUUUUGCAAUUGGACUCAGAGUAUCCGAUUUAAUUUCUUUACAGUGCAUCUGUCGCUGACAAGCUUCAGCCAGAGACACUUAAAACAAACUCGAACAACUCUUAGCAACGGAUAUCUUGGUUCCCACAACGAUGAAGAACGCAGCAAACUGCGAUACGUCUUGCGAAUUGCAGAAUUCAGUGAAUCAUCAAAUUUUCGAACGCAACCGGCGGUCUUGGGUAUUCCUGAGACCACGUUCCCUUCAGUGUCGCUUUGCGCCCAACUCAGCGGCGUGCUUCGUUUACGAGGCAUCGUGCAGCUGGAUACUGAGCGUUUCGGUCUUCUACCAAAGACUGAAUCGCUUUAAAUGUAAUGGACGCCCUUCAACAAAAACAAUGGGGCAAUGCUUGGUAUUAGGCAAUCGAAGCUUAACGGCCGAGAUUCCUUUACACAUCAAACAUUACCCUAUUUGUUGACAGGACAUCUUGAAACCCAAUACUUUGUGUUGUCUUUUCCCUCAAAAGAAAAGCCACUCACAAUCCAGCAUCUUAGACCUGAAGUGGAGCGAGGGCACCCGCUGAAUUUAAGCAUAUUAUUAAGCGGAGGAGAAGAAACUAACAAGGAUUCCCCCAGUAACGGCGAGUGAAGCGGGAAUAGCUCACAGUUAAAAUCGGGUUCCAUCUCGGACCUCGAGUUGUAAUCUAAAGACGUGUGUUCUGCGUGCGACCUGGGUAUAACUCCUUUGGAACAGGGGAUCAUAGAGGGUGAGAAUCCCGUCUUUGACCCGGAGUUCGCCGCGUACGAUGCAUGUUCAAAGAGUCGAGUUGCUUGGGACUGCAGCUCUAAAUGGGUGGUAAACUUCAUCUAAAGCUAAAUACGGGUGGGAGACCGAUAGCGAACAAGUAGCGUGAGCGAAAGAUGAAAAGAACUUUGAAAAGAGAGUUAAAAAGUACUUGAAAUUGCUAAGAGGGAAGUUAUGGAAACCAGUCUUUGCUUUGUGUCAUGUAACUAUUCGCUUUGAAAGGGGGAUUGGUGCAGAGUUCAUAGCCUGUAGCCAGUUCCCGGAUGAAAGCGUGUAGGUUAGGGCAUAAGGCGAGUCAGAAUCAAUUUAAUGGCGCCGUAGAAUACCGGUUGGAAGCUGUUCUCUCUGAGAAGUUAUAGCCUCCGGAGAUGCGGUGCUUUAGAUUGAGGAAACGACAACAUACCUUUAGUCCUGUUUACCUGCGUUCUUAAUUAGCUUGGACAGCAAAGCUGUGCGGCUGAUGAAAGGGCGUACUGUGGAUAGUAAACUACGUAUGUUUGCGAUUCUGACGAAAUGGUUUUCAUCGACCCGUCUGGAAACACGGACCAAGGAGUCUAACAUAUAUGCGAGUAUUUGGGUGGUAAACCCUGAUGCGGAAUGAAAGUGAAGGAGACCUAGUCUCUGAGGUAGGAACCCGUAAGGGGGCACUAUCGACCGAUCGAUCACUUGUGGUAGAUUUGAGUAAGAGCAUAUCUGUUGGGACCCGAAAGAUGGUGAUCUAUGCCUGAACAGAGUGAAGCCAGGGGAAACUCUGGUGGAAGCUCGUAGCGAUACUGACGUGCAAAUCGUUCGUCUGAUUUGGGUAUAGGGGCGAAAGACUAAUCGAACCAUCUAGUAGCUGGUUCCCUC